CCUACGGGUGGCAGCAGUAGGGAAUUUUCGUCAAUGGGCGCAAGCCUGAACGAGCAAUGCCGCGUGAACGAGGAAGGUCUUAGGAUCGUAAAAUUCUGUUGAAGGGGAAAAAGAGCGGAGAGAGGAAAUGGUCUCCGAUUGAUAUUAGCCUUCGAGGAAGGCACGGCUAACUACGUGCCAGCAGCCGCGGUAAUACGUAGGUGGCGAGCGUUAUCCGGAAGGAUUGGGCGUAAAGGGUGAGUAGGCGGCCUGCUAAGUCUGGAGUGAAAGGUACCGGCUCAACAGGUGCAGGCUCUGGAAACUGGCGGGCUUGGGAGCAGGAUAGGGCGGUGGAACUCCAUGUGUAGCGGUAAAAUGCGUAGAUCUAUGGAAGAACACCAGUGGCGAAGGCGGCCGCCUGGCCUGUUACUGACGCUGAGGCACGAAAGCGUGGGGAGCAAAUAGGAUUAGAUACCCGGGUAGUC
This 464-nucleotide ribosomal RNA is filed under the name uncultured bacterium. Its description in RNAcentral is "partial 16S ribosomal RNA". It matches the Rfam family "Bacterial small subunit ribosomal RNA", at positions 338 to 795 of the family's 1533-position model. The record is from RNAcentral.